GUAUCCCUAUGGCAGAUGCCGCGUUCAACAGGGC
Molecule: small RNA, 34 nt
Filed under: Sinorhizobium meliloti 2011
Lineage: Bacteria; Pseudomonadati; Pseudomonadota; Alphaproteobacteria; Hyphomicrobiales; Rhizobiaceae
Description: putative ncRNA
Source: RNAcentral